Leopardus geoffroyi (Geoffroy's cat) is the source of this 240-nucleotide long non-coding RNA. RefSeq lists it as uncharacterized. NCBI's taxonomy places the organism in Eukaryota, Metazoa, Chordata, Mammalia, Carnivora, Felidae. The record is from RefSeq and is a predicted model, not a curated record. The transcript has 2 exons.
AACUUCUUCCUUCUUAAUGUACUUCACGCUUCACUUUCCAGAAACCUGAUGGAAACAGAAGAGACAUUGGCCAUGGACACGUGUCUAGUUUAACCUGCGCUUCCGGAGCAAGGUUGACAGCAAUUACUACUCACAGCCUUUCAGCUUUGUCUCCAGACACGCAGCUCCCUCAUCUAUCUUUCAAAAGCACAGGUCUUAUCAUGUUACACCUCCCACCUCCUGUCUUAAAAAAUGUAAGUG